CACCAAGGUGACGAUGCGUAGCCGAACUGAGAGGUUGAUCGGCCACACUGGGACUGAGACACGGCCCAGACUCCUACGGGAGACAGCAGUUAGGAAUAUUCGUCAAUGGGGGAAACCCUGAACGAGCAAUGCCGCGUGAGUGAUGAAGGUCUUUGGAUUGUAAAACUCUGUUGUAUGGAAAAAAUGGCUAGGUUAGGAAAUGAACUUAGUUUGAUGGUACCAUACCAGAAAGCCCCGGCUAACUAC
RNAcentral lists this ribosomal RNA (246 nucleotides) under uncultured bacterium. Its description in RNAcentral is "partial 16S ribosomal RNA". It matches the Rfam family "Bacterial small subunit ribosomal RNA", at positions 266 to 504 of the family's 1533-position model. The record is from RNAcentral.